AAAGUCGUAACAAGGUUUCCGUAGGUGAACCUGCGGAAGGAUCAUUACCGAGAGCUUGGGGUCUAACCGGCCCCUCUCUUCACCCGUGUCUACAAAAACAAAUGUUGCUUUGGCGGGCCAGGGCCCCGUCCCUGGAUGGGCUUAACCUUCCCACCCGGUGCCCGCCGAAGGUACAACCAAAAUCUGUUAUCAGUGUCGUCCGAGUAUACACAUAAUAAACUAAAACUUUCAACAACGGAUCUCUUGGUUCCC
Molecule: unclassified non-coding RNA, 252 nt
Filed under: Ascomycota sp.
Lineage: Eukaryota; Fungi; Ascomycota
Description: partial contains small subunit ribosomal RNA, internal transcribed spacer 1, and 5.8S ribosomal RNA
Rfam family: Eukaryotic small subunit ribosomal RNA (bases 1-47)
Source: RNAcentral